RNAcentral lists this ribosomal RNA (253 nucleotides) under uncultured bacterium. RNAcentral's name for it is "partial 16S ribosomal RNA". It matches the Rfam family "Bacterial small subunit ribosomal RNA", at positions 524 to 776 of the family's 1533-position model. The record is from RNAcentral.
UACGAAGGGGGCUAGCGUUGCUCGGAAUCACUGGGCGUAAAGCGCACGUAGGCGGCUUUCUAAGUCAGGGGUGAAAUCCCAAGGCUCAACCUUGGAACUGCCUUUGAUACUGGGGAUCUCGAGUCCGGAAGAGGUGAGUGGAACUGCGAGUGUAGAGGUGAAAUUCGUAGAUAUUCGCAAGAACACCAGUGGCGAAGGCGGCUCACUGGUCCGGUACUGACGCUGAGGUGCGAAAGCGUGGGGAGCAAACAGG